RNA transcript from Mus musculus (house mouse), 2000 nucleotides. It is a transcript of the gene named predicted gene 8234, with no coding region annotated. NCBI's taxonomy places the organism in Eukaryota, Metazoa, Chordata, Mammalia, Rodentia, Muridae. The transcript has a single exon. The record is from RefSeq and is marked validated.
GCCUCCCCAGUAUGGCAGCAGCAAGACACAGCAUGCUAGACUUCACGCUGGGUGCCAAAGCUGAUGGUGAGGCCAUUCUGAAAGGCCUUCAGUCCAGUUUUUUCAGGAGCAGGGGAUGACAGAGUCAGUGCACACCUGGCAGGACCAUGGAUAUUUAGCAACUUACACGAACAAGAAUGGCAGCUUUGCCAAUGUGCGAAUUUAUCCACAUGGAUUGGUGUUGCUGGACCUUCAGAGUUACGACAGUGAUGUGCAAGGCAAACAAGAAACUGACAACCUUUUGAACAAGAUAGAAGAAAAAAAUGAAAGAAUUGAGUCAAGACAGUACAGGGCGGGUGAAGCGAUUACCACCCAUAGUUCGAGGAGGGGCUGUUGACAGAUACUGGCCUACUGCUGAUGGGCGCCUGGUUGAGUAUGACGUAGAUGAAGUAGUGUAUGAUGAAGAUUCACCCUAUCAGAACAUUAAAAUCCUACACUCAGAGCAGUUUGGGAAUAUUCUCAUCCUCAGCGGGGAUGUUAAUUUGGCAGAGAGUGACUUGGCAUAUACUCGGGCCAACAUGGGCAGUGGUAAAGAAGACUACACUGGCAAAGAUACACGGAUUCUGGGAGGUGGGGAUGGAGGCAUAUUGUGUGAAAUUGUCAAACUGGAACCAAAGAUGGUCACUAUGGUAGAGAUUGACCAAAUGGUCACUGAUGGAUGUAAGAAAUACAUGCGGAGAACAUGUGGAGAUGUCUUAGGCAAUCUUAAAGGAGACUGCUAUCAGGGUCUUAUAGAAGACUGCAACCCAGUUCUGAAGAGGUAAGCCAAAGAAGGGAGAGAGUUUGAUUAUGUGACUAGUGAUUUGACAGAUAGCUGUCCCUAACUCUAUUCUCCAGAAGAAGAUUGCACAUGGGAGUUCCUCAGACUGAUUCUCGACCUGUCAAUGAAGGUUCUGAAACAGGAUGGAAAAUACUUCACACAGAGGAACUGUGUCAACUUGACUGAAGCCCUGUCGCUCUAUGAAGAACAGCUGGGGCAUCUGUAUUGUCCUGUGGAAUUCUCAAAAGAGAUUGUCUGUGUCCCCUCAUACUUGGAAUUGUGGGUAUUUUACACUGUUUGGAAGAAAGCUAAGCCUUAAAGAUGAGUAUGCCCUGAAUGACGUGUGCUGUGAGCCUCCUUCCUGACCGCCAUAUGCCGUAUGUGCCAUCAAAUGUGUCAGGCAACUGCUCAUGAAUUCCUUCAAGUGGUUUUCACUUUUAAUUAUUAUUUUUAAUUUUAAAAGCCCCCCUGUACUGGCUAGUUUUGUGUCGACUUGACACAGCUGGAGUUAUCACAGACAAAGGAGCUUCAGUUGAGGAAAUGCCUCCAUGAGAUCCAACUGUAAGGCAUUUUCUCAAUUAGUGACCAAGGGGGAAAGGCCCAUUGUGGGUAGUGCCAUCUCUAGGCUGGUAGUCUUGGCUCUAUAAGAGAGCAGGCUGAGCAAGCCAGUAAAGAAUAUCCCUCCAUGGCCUCUGCAUCAGCUCCUGCUUUCUGACCUGCUUGAGUUCCAGUCCUGACUUCCUUUGGUGAUGAACAGCAGUAUGGAAGUGUAAGCUGAAUAAAUCCUUUCCUCUCCGACUUGCUUCUUGGUCAUGAUGUUUGUGCAGGAAUAGAAACCCUGACUAAGACACCCCCCAAAAGGCAAUGGGAAAAAUGUAUAUUUUGAUGAGUUAGGGUGUUAAUUUUUAAAAGUCAGCCUAAGGACAAUUAGACAGUCCAGCAAAGACUGCGGAAUGCACUCACCCCCUAGAAUGUAAUUUUAGUAUCUUUUUUUUUUUCCUCUGUAUGGGGUUUGGAUUUUCAUUUUGGUUUCAGUAGACCUUUAAUUUGGACAUGUGGAGGAAUGAACAACAUUGUUUUAUUCUGGAGAGAAGUUCCUGAUAGUGUUUCUCCCCUCUCACUCCCAAAUUGAUAUUAAAACCUGGUGCUUUUAAAGGUUUAAAAAGAGUGAUUAGCAGAGCUUCAAUGGAAAUGCCAAAGG